This 1650-nucleotide ribosomal RNA is filed under the name Enterococcus faecalis. RNAcentral describes it as "partial 23S ribosomal RNA". It matches the Rfam family "Bacterial large subunit ribosomal RNA", at positions 1 to 1651 of the family's 2925-position model. Lineage: Bacteria; Bacillati; Bacillota; Bacilli; Lactobacillales; Enterococcaceae. The record is from RNAcentral.
GGUUAAGUGAAUAAGGGCGCACGGUGGAUGCCUUGGCACUAGGAGCCGAUGAAGGACGGGACUAACACCGAUAUGCUUUGGGGAGCUGUAAGUAAGCUAUGAUCCAGAGAUUUCCGAAUGGGGGAACCCAAUAUCUUUUAUAGGAUAUUACUUUUCAGUGAAUACAUAGCUGAUUAGAGGUAGACGCAGAGAACUGAAACAUCUUAGUACCUGCAGGAAGAGAAAGAAAAUUCGAUUCCCUGAGUAGCGGCGAGCGAAACGGGAAGAGCCCAAACCAACAAGCUUGCUUGUUGGGGUUGUAGGACUCCAAUAUGGUAGUCUGUUAGUAUAGUUGAAGGAUUUGGAAAAUUCCGCUAAAGAGGGUGAAAGCCCCGUAGACGAAAUGCUGACAACACCUAGGAGGAUCCUGAGUACGGCGGAACACGAGAAAUUCCGUCGGAAUCCGCGGGGACCAUCCCGCAAGGCUAAAUACUCCCUAGUGACCGAUAGUGAACCAGUACCGUGAGGGAAAGGUGAAAAGCACCCCGGAAGGGGAGUGAAAUAGAUCCUGAAACCGUGUGCCUACAACAAGUCAAAGCUCGUUAAUGAGUGAUGGCGUGCCUUUUGUAGAAUGAACCGGCGAGUUACGAUUGCAUGCGAGGUUAAGUCGAAGAGACGGAGCCGCAGCGAAAGCGAGUCUGAAUAGGGCGAAUGAGUAUGUAGUCGUAGACCCGAAACCAUGUGAUCUACCCAUGUCCAGGUUGAAGGUGCGGUAAAACGCACUGGAGGACCGAACCCACGUACGUUGAAAAGUGCGGGGAUGAGGUGUGGGUAGCGGAGAAAUUCCAAACGAACUUGGAGAUAGCUGGUUCUCUCCGAAAUAGCUUUAGGGCUAGCCUCGGAAUUGAGAAUGAUGGAGGUAGAGCACUGUUUGGACUAGGGGCCCAUCUCGGGUUACCGAAUUCAGAUAAACUCCGAAUGCCAUUCAUUUAUAUCCGGGAGUCAGACUGCGAGUGAUAAGAUCCGUAGUCGAAAGGGAAACAGCCCAGACCACCAGCUAAGGUCCCAAAAUAUAUGUUAAGUGGAAAAGGAUGUGGGGUUGCACAGACAACUAGGAUGUUGGCUUAGAAGCAGCCACCAUUUAAAGAGUGCGUAAUAGCUCACUAGUCGAGUGACCCUGCGCCGAAAAUGUACCGGGGCUAAACAUAUUACCGAAGCUGUGGACUACACCAUUAGGUGUAGUGGUAGGAGAGCGUUCUAAGGGCGUUGAAGGUCGAUCGUGAGGACGGCUGGAGCGCUUAGAAGUGAGAAUGCCGGUAUGAGUAGCGAAAGACAGGUGAGAAUCCUGUCCACCGUAUGACUAAGGUUUCCUGGGGAAGGCUCGUCCGCCCAGGGUUAGUCGGGACCUAAGCCGAGGCCGAUAGGCGUAGGCGAUGGACAACAGGUUGAUAUUCCUGUACCAGUUGUUUUUGUUUGAGCAAUGGAGGGACGCAGUAGGCUAAGGAAUGCAUGCGAUUGGAAGUGCAUGUCCAAGCAAUGAGUCUUGAGUAGAGUUAAAUGCUUUACUCUUUAAGGACAAGUUGUGACGGGGAGCGAAAUAAUAGUAGCGAAGUUCCUGAUGUCACACUGCCAAGAAAAGCUUCUAGUGAGAAAACAACUGCCCGUACCGUA